GUGAGGAAUAUUGCGCAAUGGAGGCAACUCUGACCCAGCCAUGCCGCGUGCAGGAUGACGGCCCUCUGGGUUGUAAACUGCUUUUAUACGGGAAGAAAAAAUACUACGUGUAGUAUACUGACGGUACCGUAAGAAUAAGGAUCGGCUAACUCCGUGCCAGCAGCCGCGGUAAUACGGAGGAUCCAAGCGUUGUCCGGAUUUAUUGGGUUUAAAGGGUGCGUAGGCGGAUCUUUAAGUCAGUGGUGAAAGCCUGCAGCUUAACUGUAGAAUUGCCAUGGAAACUGAAGAUCUUGAAUGUGGUUAAAGUAGGCGGAAUGUAUCAUGUAGCGGUGAAAUGCUUAGAUAUGAUACAGAACACCGAUAGCGAAGGCAGCUUGCUGAACCAUUAUUGACGCUGAGGCACGAAAGCGUGGGGAGCGAACAGGAUUAGAUACCCUGGUAGUCC
This 445-nucleotide ribosomal RNA is filed under the name uncultured bacterium. Its description in RNAcentral is "partial 16S ribosomal RNA". It matches the Rfam family "Bacterial small subunit ribosomal RNA", at positions 354 to 796 of the family's 1533-position model. The record is from RNAcentral.